CCGGCUGUCGGUCUCGAAGUAGUGGCAGUGGCUGAUGAGCUCACCUGUCCUGGGGUUUGGGGUGCGAUGCACGUCCCAUAAAAGAGAUGAGUACUGGCUCGCGCCUGUUUUCGGGAGCUCAGCUUGCCCCAGAGCCUCCGUGGACGCACCGCGCGUUAAGCAGAGCCGCGUGUCAUGCUCAGGACCUGGGCAGCGGGCGGACCCACAGGCCCGAGUCCCUCGGGUUUCCGGUGAAAAACGGCGCGUGGGUGGUUAUCUAUGGAAAUUCUCAAGAAGUUCACAGAAAGUGUGUUCGCGAGUAUAAUUAUGUUAUACCAAUUUAUUUCACCAGUCUUCCUGCCUGUGCUCCAGACCUCAAGUGUUGUGAAGGAAACCAUUCAUAAAAUCCCUACAUUUGCCGGGCCUGGUGGCGCACGCCUGUAAUCCCAGCACUCGGGAGGGUAUGAUGUCUGGACUCCCCAGCCCUAUCCUAGUGCUGGGAAUCCAACCCAAGGCCUCAGGCAUACUAGCUUCACCAACCCGUUAACUUUUAUCAUUUUGGUAAGUCCUUCUGACAGGUGUGAUGUGGUUUCACACUAAAAAAACUGUAUUUCUCAAGAAAUAUCAAUUAGGGCCGGGGAUUUAGCUCAGUGGUUC
This is a long non-coding RNA of Fukomys damarensis (Damara mole-rat), 636 nucleotides long. RefSeq lists it as uncharacterized. The record is from RefSeq and is a predicted model, not a curated record. The transcript is spliced from 3 exons. NCBI's taxonomy places the organism in Eukaryota, Metazoa, Chordata, Mammalia, Rodentia, Bathyergidae.